This 3008-nucleotide ribosomal RNA is filed under the name wastewater metagenome. RNAcentral's name for it is "bacterial LSU rRNA". It matches the Rfam family "Bacterial large subunit ribosomal RNA". The record is from RNAcentral.
GCAGGUUAAUUAAGGGUAUAUGGCGGAUGCCUUGACACUAGAAGGCGACGAAGGACGUGGCGUAACUGCGAUAAGUCUCGGGGAGGUGUGUAGCAACCUGUGAUCCGGGAAUUUCCGAAUGAGGAAACUCAAUUGCGUCUAAACGCAAUUGCUCCGACCUUGUGUCGGAGCGCGAACUCGGCGAAGUGAAACAUCUCAGUAGCCGGAGGAAUAGAGAACAAAAGUAAUUCCCCAAGUAGUGGCGAGCGAAAAGGGAAAAGCCCAAACCUACCGAUGCUCUGCAUCGGAAAUUCCAAGAAACAAGAAACAACAACCAAAUAAUUUGGAAUUUGUAUCUUGGUGAUUGGUGCUUCCGCUGCAUAGCAGCGGUGGGGGUAGUAAGAUAAUAACAUUAGAGAAAUCUUAAAGAGUGAUAAAAAAUUAAGACUUCCUUAAUUGAAAGAACUGGAAAGUUCUACCAUAGAAGGUAAUAGUCCUGUAGAUGAAAAGGGUCUUAUACUCUUGGUUGUUAAUCUUGAGUAUUGCGAGAACAUGUAAUCUCGCAAGAAACAUCCUGAACUAUCUAGGAAAGGCUAAAUACUUCUAGUGAUCGAUAGUGAACUAGUACCGUGAGGGAAAGGUGAAAAGUAGCCCGGUGAGGGCGGUGAAAUAGUACCUGAAACCAUAUACUUACAAAGAGUCGGAGUCCCGAUUUAUCGGGAUGACGGCGUGCUUUUUGCAGAACGAACCAACGAGUUUAUGUAUGUUGUUGUUUAAGUCCGAAUAGGAUGGAGGCAUAGGGAAACCGAGUGUUAAAAGCGCGAAUUAUAACAAUAUGCAUAAGACCCGAAGCCAGGUGAGCUACCCAUGGACAGGAUGAACCCCGAUGAAAAUCGGGGGAAGGUCCGAAUCCACCAGCCGUGCAAUACUGGGGAAUGAGCUGUGGGUUGGAGUGAAAAGCUAAUCGAACCUGGUAAUAGCUGGUUCUCCUCGAAAUAUGUUUAGGCAUAGCCUCUUGUUUUUCUCCUUAGGGGUAGAGCACUAAAUUGGUUGAGGUGGCGUAAGCCUACUCACUAAAUUAAACUCCGAAUACUAAGGCAGACAGCAAGGGAGUAAGACCGUGGGGGCUAAGCUCCAUGGUCAAAAGGGAAAUAGCCCAGACCGCCAUCUAAGGUCCCAAAAUUAAAUUAAGUGGUAAAAGAAGUGUUUUGUCUUUGACAGAUGGGAUGUUGGCUCAGAAGUAGCCAUCAUUUAAAGAGUGUGUAACAACUCACCAUUCUAUCCCUUUAUUGGGUAUGAUGAGACGCGCUGAAAAUGUAACGGGGCUCAAAUUUAAUACCGAAGAUGCGGAUCUCCGACCUUGCGUCGGAGGUGGUAGAGGAGCAUUUUUCCAACAGUGAAGGUUCGACGUGAGUCGGGCUGGAGUUGGAAGAAGAGAGAAUGUUGGUAUGAGUAACCACAAGUCCGAUGAGAAAUCGGACCACCGAAAGCCUCAGGUUUCCUUGGCAAUGUAAAUCAGCCAAGGGUUAGGCGGAUCUAAGACAAACCCGAAAGGGGUAGUUGAUGUUCAGUCGGUUAAUAUUCCGACCCUUCUAUAUUUUUUCUACGGAGUGACAGGAUUUAGUAGUUGAAGCAGAUUAUUGGAUUUCUGUUUGUAUGUUAAGAAGCCAAGUUAGGCAAAUCCGGCUUGGAUUACUUCAAGACACUCAAGAAGUUUCGGUUUCGAUCGGAACGACUUUAAUGAGCAAGUCCUCGAGAAAAACUUCUAUGUUCGCCAAUCGGCGAAAGAAAUAUAGAAUCCGUACCGUAAACUGACACAGGUGGGCGAGGCGAGAAGCCUAAGGUGAACGGGUUAACCUUCGUUAAGGAACUCGGCAAAACAACGGCCGUAAGUUCGCAAUAAGGCCUUCCCCGAUUUAUCGGGGACGCAGCUAAAGAUUCCUAGCGACUGUUUACUAAAAACACAGGUCCCUGCUAACUCGUAAGAGGAUGUAUAGGGGCUGACACUUGACCAGUGCUGGAAGGUUAAUAGUGCCGGUUGUGGCCGCAAGGUUACAGCUGAGUGCUUGAAGCCCCAGUGAACGUCGGCGAUAACUAUAAUCGUCCUAAGGUACCGAAAUUCCUUGACAUGUAAGUUAUGUCCUGCAGGAAAAGUGUAACGACUGGGAAACUGUCUCAACGAAGAGCCCGGUGAAAAUGCAAUGUCAGUGAAGAUGCUGACUACCCGCGACAAGACGAAAAGACCCCAGGAGCUUUACUAUAUCUUGGUAUUGUUUUAACGAUUUUGAUGCGUAGCGUAGAUGGUAGGAUUUGAAGUCUCGAUUUUGGUUGGGAUGGAUCCGUCAAUGAAACACCAUUCUUUAAAAUUGUUAAAACUAACCCCUCUUAAUAGAGAGGGACAGUGCCAGGUGGGUAGUUUUGGUGGGGCGCUAGCCUCCUAAAAGGUAACGGAGGCGUUUAAAGGUUGACUAGCUCCGGAUGGAAAUCGGAGUGAUAGUGUAAGAGCAUAAGUCAGCUUUACUGCGAGACUGACAGGUCAAGCAGUUGCGAAAGCAGAAUCUAGUGAACCGCUGGAUCUUUAUAGAAAGACCAAAGAUCAUCGGAUAAAAGCUACCCUGGGGAUAACAGGCUGGUAGGCGCUGAGAGUCCAUAUCGACGCGUCUGUUCGGCACCUCGAUGUCGGCUCAUCUCAUCCUGGGGCUGGAGAAGGUCCCAAGGGUUUGGCUGUUCGCCAAUUAAAGAGGUACGUGAGCUGGGUUUAAACCGUCAACUAAAUUUGUUACUGUUAGCAAAUUUGGCGGCUUCUGAUAGUAAUAUCGGAAUGUGAAAUCGACUCAUAUCGGUGAAGUCCUAUUAUAUAUUGACACUCAACCUGUCAUAUGAUAGGAUAAUACCGAGGGAAGCUGUAAAUUUUCUUUAUGAGUAAAAACACUAAAAAUUGGUCUUAUUUGGCAGGGUUUUUAGAUGGAGACGGAAGUAUCUAUGUAAGAAUUAAACCAAAUAAAUCUUAUCGUUUUGGAUUUCAAAUU